AACGAACGCUGGCGGCGUGCCUAACACAUGCAAGUUGAGCGCGAAAGGGAGCAAUCCCCGGUAGAGCAGCGCACGGGUGAGUAACACGUGAGUAAUCUUCCUUCGUGUCAGGAAUAACCACUGGAAACGGUGGCUAAUACUCGAUAAGCCCACAACCCCCUCGGGGGAGUGAGGGAAAAGGGGGGACGGCAAGCCUCUCGCACGAAGAUGAGCUCGCGGUCCAUUAGCUAGUUGGCGGGGUAAUGGCCCACCCAAGGCGAUGAUGGAUAGCUGGUCUGAGAGGACGAUCAGCCACACUGGGACGUGAGACACGGCCCAGAUCCUACGGGAGGCAGCAGUGGGGAAUCUUGCGCAAUGGCGAAAGUCUGACGCAGCAACGCCGCGUGAGUGAUGAAGGUACUUU
Molecule: ribosomal RNA, 403 nt
Filed under: uncultured bacterium
Lineage: Bacteria
Description: bacterial SSU rRNA
Rfam family: Bacterial small subunit ribosomal RNA
Source: RNAcentral